GUCUACGGCCAUGCCACCCUGAACAAGAUCCCGUCUGAUCGCGGAAGCUAAGCAAGGUCGGGCCUGGUUAGUAUGUGGAUGGGAGACCACCUCGGAAGACCAGGUGCUGUAGGCG
RNAcentral lists this ribosomal RNA (115 nucleotides) under Pteropus alecto (black flying fox). Lineage: Eukaryota; Metazoa; Chordata; Mammalia; Chiroptera; Pteropodidae. The record is from RNAcentral.